AGCGAACGCUGGCGGCAGGCUUAACACAUGCCAGUCGAGCGGGCAUCCUUGUGGUGUCAGCGGCAGACGGGUGAGUAACGCGUGUGAACGUGCCCUUCGGUUCGGAAUAACUCCGGGAAACUUGAGCUAAUACCGGAUACGUGCGAGAGCAGAAAGGUUUAUCUGCCGAAGGAUCGGCCCGCGUCUGAUUAGCUAGUUGGUGAGGUUACGGCUCACCAAGGCGACGAUCAGUAGCUGGUCUGAGAGGAUGAUCAGCCACACUGGGACUGAGACACGGCCCAGACUCCUACGGGAGGCAGCAGUGGGGAAUAUUGGACAAUGGGGGCAACCCUGAGCCAGCCAUGCCGCGUGAGUGAUGACGGCCUUAGGGUUGUAAAGCUCUUUUCUCCGGGACGAUAAUGACGGUACCGGAGGAAUAAGCCCCGGCUAACUUCGUG
RNAcentral lists this ribosomal RNA (437 nucleotides) under uncultured bacterium. RNAcentral describes it as "partial 16S ribosomal RNA". It matches the Rfam family "Bacterial small subunit ribosomal RNA", at positions 29 to 507 of the family's 1533-position model. The record is from RNAcentral.